RNAcentral lists this antisense RNA (75 nucleotides) under Streptomyces rubradiris. RNAcentral describes it as "Streptomyces achromogenes subsp. rubradiris ASpks TB sRNA". It matches the Rfam family "ASpks TB sRNA". The record is from Rfam by way of RNAcentral. Lineage: Bacteria; Bacillati; Actinomycetota; Actinomycetes; Kitasatosporales; Streptomycetaceae.
UUUGAGCGAUCCCAGCCACAGGGGCUGGCCGGCGUCGCGGUCCCGGCCGUAGGUGGCCAGCAACGCCUCGGCCUC